RNAcentral lists this ribosomal RNA (465 nucleotides) under uncultured bacterium. Its description in RNAcentral is "partial 16S ribosomal RNA". It matches the Rfam family "Bacterial small subunit ribosomal RNA", at positions 338 to 795 of the family's 1533-position model. The record is from RNAcentral.
CCUACGGGCGGCAGCAGUGGGGAAUAUUGCGCAAUGGGCGAAAGCCUGACGCAGCGACGCCGCGUGAGGGAUGAAGGUCUUCGGAUCGUAAACCUCUGUCAGCAGGGAAGAACGGUCACUGUGCUAAUCAGCAGUGAAUUGACGGUACCUGCAAAGGAAGCACCGGCUGACUCCGUGCCAGCAGCCGCGGUAAUACGGAGGGUGCGAGCGUUAAGCGGAAUUACGGGGCGUAAAGCGCUCGUAGGCGGUAUGUCAAGUCAAGGGUGAAAUCCCCUCGGUCAACGUGGGCACUGCCUGUGAAACUGGCAAACUGGAGUGUGUGAGAGGAUAGUGGAAUGCCAGGUGUAGGGGUGAAAUCCGUAGAUAUCUGGCGGAACAUCGGUGGCGAAGGCGACUAUCUGGCACAUAACUGACGCUGAGGAGCGAAAGCGUGGGUAGCAAACAGGAUUAGAUACCCGAGUAGUC